CUACGGGUUGCUGCAGUAGGGAAUAUUGCACCAUGGGCAAAAGCCUGAUGCAGCAACGCCGCGUGAGCGAUGAAGGCCCUCGGGUCGUAAAGCUCUUUUCAAGGGGAAGAGGAAGGACGGUACCCUUGGAAUAAGUCUCGGCUAACUACGUGCCAGCAGCCGCGGUAAAACGUAGGAGGCGAUCGUUAUCCGGAUUUACUGGGCGUAAAGCGCGUGUAGGCGGUACAGCAAGUUGGAUGUGAAAGCUCCUGGCUUAACUGGGAGAGGUCGUUCAAAACUGCUGAACUAGAGUACGGUAGAGGAAAAUGGAAUUCCGGGUGUAGUGGUGAAAUGCGUAGAUAUCCGGAGGAACACCAGAGGCGAAAGCGAUUUUCUGGACCGAAACUGACGCUCAGACGCGAAAGCUAGGGUAGCAAACGGGAUUAGAUACCCUCGUAGUC
This 440-nucleotide ribosomal RNA is filed under the name uncultured bacterium. Its description in RNAcentral is "partial 16S ribosomal RNA". It matches the Rfam family "Bacterial small subunit ribosomal RNA", at positions 339 to 795 of the family's 1533-position model. The record is from RNAcentral.